CAGCGCCACGAGUGGCAACCAUGAUUAUUGGGCCUAAAGCGUUCGUAGCCGGUUUAGUAAAUCUUCUGUGAAAUCGUCUCGCUUAACGAAACGACGUGCAAGAGACACUACUAAACUUGAGACCGGGAGGAGCAAGGAGUAUUCUUGGGGGAGCGGUAAAAUGUUAUAAUCCCUUGAAGACUACCUGUGGCGAAGGCGCCUUGCUAGAACGGAUCUGACGGUGAGGGACGAAAGCCAGGGGAGCGAACCGGAUUAGAUACCCGAGUAGUCC
RNAcentral lists this ribosomal RNA (271 nucleotides) under uncultured archaeon. RNAcentral describes it as "partial 16S ribosomal RNA". It matches the Rfam family "Archaeal small subunit ribosomal RNA", at positions 477 to 747 of the family's 1478-position model. The record is from RNAcentral.